Molecule: ribosomal RNA, 569 nt
Filed under: uncultured Gammaproteobacteria bacterium
Lineage: Bacteria; Pseudomonadati; Pseudomonadota; Gammaproteobacteria
Description: bacterial SSU rRNA
Rfam family: Bacterial small subunit ribosomal RNA
Source: RNAcentral
UCGAUUUGGAGUUUGUUGCCUAGAGUGAUGGGCUCCGAAGCUAACGCGAUAAAUCGACCGCCUGGGGAGUACGGCCGCAAGGUUAAAACUCAAAUGAAUUGACGGGGGCCCGCACAAGCGGUGGAGCAUGUGGUUUAAUUCGAUGCAACGCGAAGAACCUUACCUGGUCUUGACAUCCACAGAAUCUUGCAGAGAUGCGAGAGUGCCUUCGGGAACUGUGAGACAGGUGCUGCAUGGCUGUCGUCAGCUCGUGUUGUGAAAUGUUGGGUUAAGUCCCGCAACGAGCGCAACCCUUAUCCUUUGUUGCCAGCGGUUCGGCCGGGAACUCAAAGGAGACUGCCAGUGAUAAACUGGAGGAAGGUGGGGAUGACGUCAAGUCAUCAUGGCCCUUACGAGUAGGGCUACACACGUGCUACAAUGGCGCAUACAAAGAGAAGCGACCUCGCGAGAGCAAGCGGACCUCAUAAAGUGCGUCGUAGUCCGGAUCGGAGUCUGCAACUCGACUCCGUGAAGUCGGAAUCGCUAGUAAUCGUAGAUCAGAAUGCUACGGUGAAUACGUUCCCGGGCCU